GAUGAACGCUGGCGGCGUGCCUAAUACAUGCAAGUCGAGCGAACAGACGAGGAGCUUGCUCCUCUGACGUUAGCGGCGGACGGGGGAGUAACACGUGGAUAACCUACCUAUAAGACUGGGAUAACUUCGGGAAACCGGAGCUAAUACCGGAUAAUAUAUUGAACCGCAUGGUUCAAUAGUGAAAGACGGUUUUGCUGUCACUUAUAGAUGGAUCCGCGCCGCAUUAGCUAGUUGGUAAGGUAACGGCUUACCAAGGCAACGAUGCGUAGCCGACCUGAAAGGGUGAUCGGCCACACUGGAACUGAGACACGGUCCAGACUCCUACGGGAGGCAGCAGUAGGGAAUCUUCCGCAAGGGGCGAAAGCUUGACGGAGCAACGCCGCGUGAGUGAUGAAGGUCUUCGGAUCGUAAAACUCUGUUAUUAGGGAAGAACAAAUGUGUAAGUAACUAUGCACGUCUUGACGGUACCUAAUCAGAAAGCCACGGCUAACUACGUG
RNAcentral lists this ribosomal RNA (497 nucleotides) under uncultured bacterium. RNAcentral's name for it is "partial 16S ribosomal RNA". It matches the Rfam family "Bacterial small subunit ribosomal RNA", at positions 28 to 507 of the family's 1533-position model. The record is from RNAcentral.